RNAcentral lists this ribosomal RNA (494 nucleotides) under uncultured bacterium. RNAcentral describes it as "partial 16S ribosomal RNA". It matches the Rfam family "Bacterial small subunit ribosomal RNA", at positions 28 to 507 of the family's 1533-position model. The record is from RNAcentral.
GACGAACGCUGGCGGCGCGCUUAACACAUGCAAGUCGAACGGAAAGGCCUGCUUUCCCUUGUGGAUUGCGGGUACUCGAGUGGCGAACGGGUGAGUAACACGUGAGUGAUCUGCCCCCAACUUGGGUAUAAGCCUGGGAAACUGGGUCUAAUUCCCGAUAGGACUGCAGGGUGGUGCCUGUGGUGGAAAACGACUUUCUAGUGGUUGGGGAUGAGCUCGCGGCCUAUCAGCUUGUUGGUGGGGUAAUGGCCUACCAAGGCGGCGACGGGUAGCCGGCCUGGGAGGGUGGACAGCCGCAUUGGGACUGGGAUACGGCCCAGACUCCAACGGGCAGCAGCAGUGGGGGAUAAUGGGCGAUGAGCGGAAGCCUGAUGCAGCGACGCCGUGUGGGGGAUGACGGCCUUCGGAUUGUAAACUCCUUUCGAGCGCGAGGAAGCCACCUGGUUGGAAGGGUGGUGACGGUAGUGGUAGAAGAAGCACCGGCUAACUACGUG